UACGUAGGGACCAAGCGUUGUUCGGAUUUACUGGGCGUAAAGGGCGCGUAGGCGGCGUGUUAAGUCAGCUGUGAAAUCUCCAAGCUUAACUUGGAACGGUCAGCUGAUACUGAUGUGCUAGAGUGCAGACGGGGCAAUCGGAUUCUUGGUGUAGCGGUGAAAUGCGUAGAUAUCAAGAGGAACACCUGAGGCGAAGGCGGGUUGCUGGGCUGACACUGACGCUGAGGCGCGAAAGCUAGGGUAGCAAACGGGAUUAGAAACCCUAGUAGUCC
RNAcentral lists this ribosomal RNA (272 nucleotides) under uncultured bacterium. Its description in RNAcentral is "partial 16S ribosomal RNA". It matches the Rfam family "Bacterial small subunit ribosomal RNA", at positions 524 to 796 of the family's 1533-position model. The record is from RNAcentral.